GUUCCUCUCCGCCUUUAGACUGACGGCGCCAUCUGAGAUCCGUUUUAGACAGAGAAAGGCAUAAAGCAACAAGAGUUCCGGAGGCGGCUGCUGGGGUCAUACAAUGUGCACAUGAUUCACGGAGUACACAAUAGUUCCUUUCAAUAGUAUGAAAUUUUGAAAUUUCCGGACUACUUUUGGUACAGUUCUGAUGAUAUUUUAUCUUUUUAGAAAUGGCAAACUGAGAUUAUGCAAGCCGAUGAUAUUAGUGGUUACCUUAAAGGGAAAGUAUUGCAGAGUUGUCACUGGUUUAAUAGAUACAGACUUGAUGCAGCUGAUAUCUGGAGAUGUUCAUUUUGUAAUGGUCAUUCAUGAGAUUGGUCGAUUGUCCUUUUAUACAAGUAGGUAUUAUGUUCUACAAGACAAGUGCAAUCCAAGGGCAGAUUUAAUUAA
This is a long non-coding RNA of Lolium rigidum, 432 nucleotides long. RefSeq lists it as uncharacterized. The record is from RefSeq and is a predicted model, not a curated record. Lineage: Eukaryota; Viridiplantae; Streptophyta; Magnoliopsida; Poales; Poaceae. The transcript is spliced from 2 exons.